This 390-nucleotide ribosomal RNA is filed under the name uncultured bacterium. Its description in RNAcentral is "bacterial SSU rRNA". It matches the Rfam family "Bacterial small subunit ribosomal RNA", at positions 28 to 420 of the family's 1533-position model. The record is from RNAcentral.
GACGAACGCUGGCGGCGUGCUUAACACAUGCAAGUCGAGCGGUAAGGCCCUUUCGGGGGUACACGAGCGGCGAACGGGUGAGUAACACGUGGGUGACCUGCCCUCAGCUCUGGGAUAAGCCUGGGAAACCGGGUCUAAUACUGGAUAUGACUCCAUGACGCAUGUUGUGGGGUGGAAAGCCUCGUGCGGCUGAGGAUGGGCCCGCGGCCUAUCAGCUUGUUGGUGGGGUGANGGCCUACCAAGGCGACGACGGGUAGCCGGCCUGAGAGGGCGACCGGCCACACUGGGACUGAGACACGGCCCAGACUCCUACGGGAGCAGCAGUGGGGAAUCUUGCGCAAUGGGCGAAAGCCUGACGCAGCGACGCCGCGUGAGGGAUGACGGCCUGGU